GGGGAAAAACACCCGAUCCCAUCCCGAACUCGGCCGUGAAAACCCCCAGCGCCCAUGGUACUGCGUCUUAAGACGCGGGAGAGUCGGUCACUGCCAGGU
Molecule: ribosomal RNA, 99 nt
Filed under: Rhodospirillales bacterium
Lineage: Bacteria; Pseudomonadati; Pseudomonadota; Alphaproteobacteria; Rhodospirillales
Source: RNAcentral